This is a long non-coding RNA of Rosa chinensis, 1273 nucleotides long. RefSeq lists it as uncharacterized. The transcript has 5 exons. The record is from RefSeq and is a predicted model, not a curated record. Lineage: Eukaryota; Viridiplantae; Streptophyta; Magnoliopsida; Rosales; Rosaceae.
AGAUAAGGCGGUGGAGGAGCAGAGCCAGACCACUCCCUCCCUCCCUCCCUGACGGAUCGCCGAUUUCCGUUGACGACUUGUUCCAGGACGGCCAGAUCUGGCCGGUGUAUCUGAUUUUCAACCGAGAUCUCCUUUUCGCAGACGCCUAUGACGGUGAUUCUUCCCACCAAAAAUAGGCUUUUUCUUCUUCAUCUCGAAGGCCGCCACUGAAGAAGCUCUUCAUCAAAGACCGCAACACACCGUCGAUCUUGGCCUCUGAAUUCGAUGAGCACGAAGCUCCCGGAGGAACCUAACGUGAGUGGUCCAAAAAUGCCGAGGAGGGAAAUUAUGAUUUUACAACAAUAGGGAUUUGAAGAAGGAGAAGGUUGCUUCUGGGUCUAGGUCAAUCUUCUUCUUGGGAUCUGGCUGAUCCUGAGUUGCAGAGGCAGAAGAAAAAGCCCGUAAAUAGGAGAGGAAGAACAAAAUGCCCGUAAAUAGGAGUCAGUGGCAAUGUCCGUAAAUUGUGAUGAAACUCAAGCAUUUUGGUCAUUUUGCAUUAAAUUUGGAGUCAGGCUUACAUCAUUUGACUUUUGGGCCUGAGCUCAUGUCCUUAUUUGUAUAAAUCUAUUUGAAGUAUCAAGUUGCUCAGGCAUAUAUGGUCACAAAGAUGCAGCAACAGAACACGAAUAGUACGGAAGGGGUGGAAUUUUAGAGAAUAAAUCCUUUGAAGAAGAUGUAUAUGGAAAGGUCAAUACAGUUCUAAUAUUUAUCAUGUACAAAGGCUCUGAUGGCAAUCACUCCAAAUUUCAGCCUCUAUCUCUUCCUAAUUCCAAAAAGAGUGCAAAUGGAGGAGCAUACUUGGAGGUGCAAUUCUUUUCCCCUCCAUCGUCCACCAUACUAAACAAGCUCAAGACUCCACAACUCCCAAAAGGAAAAUGGAUCCUUUUUUACUAGCUAUCAUUCUUAUGGGUGCCCACAAUAGCAAAGACAUACAUUUAAUCAUUCUUUGGUAAUCAUUCGCAGAAGUCAGCUUGUUGUAUAUCUAUUCAAUAUGACUUUGCAAUGAGGCUUAGUAGCUUACGGGAUAAGGAUGGUUUUAUGUUAUCUAUUUUCAACUCCAUCAGCUUUUUGUUUGAAACUAGUAUCUAGUCCUCACACUUUUGUAUAGAAGAAAGAAAGCAUGUGCUAGGAGUAACAUAUUAGUGUCUUUAUAAAGGCUUUUUGUUUCGAGUAGGAUUUCCAUCAUUUAUACAAAAGGAAAACAACUUUGGCUGAGACAAUGUAGUAGUUUUUA